UGAACGGUAAAUCUGGCAAAAAUUCACAUGCUGAACAUUUCAGUGUUUGUAAGGAUGGCUUGGUUUAGUGGUUAGACUAUGUACUGCACAGGGGUAUUAUCAGGUUUAAUUAAUUAUGCUGCAGCUAUACGCUGUGCAGACCUUUGUGCCAGCAUCUUCACAGCUCUUGAGGACUUCCUUCUGAAGAAUAACAGGAAUGUUUGGACCAAAUGUACCAAAUGAAUCAUAUGUCUUAAAUGUUUAUUUAGACCCCUUGUUUGCUUCUUUAGAAGCCACAAAGCUGACUUGAGAACUUUUGUGCACUGGGGAUAGAUGGCGUCUUGGUACCAGCCACACACUUUCCUGUUGCAGCUCCAGGCAUGCAGCUUUCCUGCCAAAUGCAGGGCUCAGAGGAAGGACAAACUAAUCCACCAGGCAAAAAGGUUUAGUUCUAUCUGUGUGUGAAAAUUCAACACUAUAUUUCCCAUUUGUGGUGUUGUUUUUUAGCCUAGCCUGGUUUACUCAUCCCUUUAAAUGACUGCGAGAAGAAAAAAUGCUCUUAGCAUUGCACAAGUCCAGUGACUUGUUUUCCUUCUGAGAAUCAAAUGCAUGGGAAAUCUGACUGCAAAAAUUGGUAUCUCUUGAGAAGCCCUGCCUGUCUGACAGGUAGUUUUGAAGUGGAGGCUCUUGGUCACUGUUCACGCCAAGAUGCCAUGACAUUUUAGCUCUCUUCUUCUGUCACUUUGUUUUCAGACUAUGCACGCAGAGCGUAUCAUGCCUGAUGGUAUGAUGAAAGCCAACAGAUGAAUUUUGUUUUCUGUAUCUUUGUUCUACUCUCAUAAUUGAAACUAUUUGCAAUCUUGAAAAGAUGUGCCAAGAGGGUCUGAACAGGAAAAUUCUGGAAUGAUGCAUCACACAUAAGUUGCAUUUGUUGUAACCAAUGUGUAAUAUUCUGGAACUAAAAACAAACAGUCUUUAAGUCUGCCACCCAAAAUUGGUAACUUUGUCUACUACCUGUGAACAUACAAACAAGAAUGUGGGUGCCCACCCAUGUGGAUCUGAAGGGCUGCAGAUUCCUUCAUCACCAGUAGUGUGGCUCUUGGAGAACACACACCGUUUCUGGUCACUGCUGCUGUCAGUCACUGUGUGUUGUUUCUGUCAAAUUGUGUUCAUGACAGUUCACAAACUGGAGAAGAUAGUUACACACGGGCUUCCAAAUUUGAGGAAAACUAGCAAUGGCAAAGACUGGAAAUCCUUGAAGCUAAGAGCUAUGUACAUGUUUCCUGCAAGCGGCUUGGUGAGUUUUUCCUGCAAGAUGCUCAGGAGCCCGGAUUGGCCUUUUCCAAGGUCACCUUUGGUAGCACUUAGUGGAACAAAUCACCUGAAGUGUAGGAAGGUGAAACUACUAUUAGCCUGUAGUAAAUUUCAAUUCUGUUAUCCAAAUAAACAUUGAAGCUUGUACAUUAAUGCUUAUACUCCCUGACCAUCUCUAAUUUUCUCUGAGUAAUGUGUACUUUAUAAACACAAUUGGCACGAGAAAUAUUUUCUACUGCAAAGAAAUAAAAGAAAAAAUGAGGAAGAUGUUAUUUUUGUUGGUUUUCGUGUUUCCUAUUUUUAGAGAAGUUAAAAAAAAAAGGGAAUAUUCACUACUUUAAAUGCUUUCUAAUGCUUUGCAGUGAGAGAGGAAUGAGGGCCCUCAGGACUCACCAGCAGCUGAUCUGGAGCUCAGCAUGCAGAUGUGCUAAAGGCCAGGUCAUCCUCAGCUGGACCUUUCCUGGGAAGUUGUUUUUAUUAUUUUCUUGUCAUUACUUUGACAGAGGUUUUGAAAACCAUUCCAAAAUGCUGGGACAGAUUUAUAUUCGAUUCCACCUGAAUAUAUCUGGACCAAAUCUCCCCACAGUGAGACCCGCAGACCAAAACUGAGCUGCAAAAGGAAAAGACGAUAGCAACAGUGUAAUGCAUGGGAUUGCUCUGACCAAGUAAUGCUCAGGGGUGUGAGGGUGCAGAGGGAACGUAGCAAAUGAAGGCUUUAAGUGGCUGCUGGGGAAUGGGCUCUUGUUGAAGUCAUCUUAGAGCUGAAUUUUAGUGUGGGCAACUGAGGAGAUUUGUGCCAGGAGUUUGUCUUUUCUAUCCUCUGCAACAAAUACUGCAGGAGAGAAGCAGCUGCUCCAUCAGAGAGCUCUUUGGAACAAGGAGCCUUCUCCCUGUCUUUGAUCUUACACAAAAUUCUGAUUUGCCAUUGUGUGUAUUGAAGCCAGGC
This is a non-coding RNA of Meleagris gallopavo (turkey), 2239 nucleotides long. The record is from RefSeq and is a predicted model, not a curated record. Lineage: Eukaryota; Metazoa; Chordata; Aves; Galliformes; Phasianidae.